GACGAACGCUGGCGGCGUGCUUAACACAUGCAAGUCGAACGGUGAUGCUCCACCUUGCUGGAGUGGAUCAGUGGCGAACGGGUGAGUAACACGUGAGCAACCUGCCCCAGACUCUGGAAUAAGCUCUGGAAACGGCGUCUAAUACUGGAUACGAAACUGGCCCGCAUGGGCAUGGUUUGGAAGGUUUGUCGGUUGGGGAUGGGCUCGCGGCCUAUCAGCUUGUUGGUGGGGUAGUGGCUCACCAAGGCGUCGACGGGUAGCCGGCCUGAGAGGGCGACCGGCCACACUGGGACUGAGAUACGGCCCAGACUCCUACGGGAGGCAGCAGUGGGGAAUAUUGCACAAUGGGCGAAAGCCUGAUGCAGCGACGCCGCGUGAGGGAUGACGGCCUUCGGGUUGUAAACCGCUUUCAGCAGGGAAGAAGCGAAAGUGACGGUACCUGGAGAAGAAGCACCGGCUAACUACGUG
This 468-nucleotide ribosomal RNA is filed under the name uncultured bacterium. RNAcentral describes it as "partial 16S ribosomal RNA". It matches the Rfam family "Bacterial small subunit ribosomal RNA", at positions 28 to 507 of the family's 1533-position model. The record is from RNAcentral.